RNAcentral lists this long non-coding RNA (433 nucleotides) under Macaca mulatta (Rhesus monkey). Its description in RNAcentral is "lncRNA (ENSMMUG00000053932.1)". The record is from RNAcentral. Lineage: Eukaryota; Metazoa; Chordata; Mammalia; Primates; Cercopithecidae.
AAACCCUGGUGCUCCCUAGCGUCCAGUUUUACCCUAAGGAUGGCAUUUGCUGCAUCCUGUGUGUCCUCCUGGUCACAGAAUCAUCACUGACUGUGGGAGGAGUUGGCUGCUGUCCACCACUGCAAAAUGAGGGUGCCACAGAGAGAGGGCAAAGCGGGAGAAAUGAGGCUGGAGCAUGCCCAGUGCAGCCGACCCUCCUUGGGCUUCCCUCUCCUUGGCAGGGAGGAGAUAAAACAAGGUGCAGACCAAAGAAACCAAGUCUUCAGGCUGGACUAUGGGUCUUGGUUGUCUUGGCCCUGUGGGGCAGAAGGGAUGAAGAAGGGCAGAGAAGGGCAGAAAUAGCCCUCUGAAAACUGAGUGGGGACAUAGGAGUACACAACCACCACCCAUCUGUUGAGAGGGUUUUGAAUGUUACAAUAUAUAAAUUGAAAUU